Molecule: long non-coding RNA, 465 nt
Organism: Homo sapiens (human)
Lineage: Eukaryota; Metazoa; Chordata; Mammalia; Primates; Hominidae
Exons: 2
Source: RefSeq, a predicted model, not a curated record
CCCAGGAGCUGCACCUCCUCUGAAGAAAUGGCCUUGUUCCAGGCAGCAAAACUGCUGUGGGAAGUCAGGAAAGGCCGGGUGAAGCGCUGGGCUCUCUGAAGCUAGCACUUUUGGAAUCAAGUUCGCCCUGGAAGUGGGCUGUGCCUCAUCUUCGCACUCAGACUCUGAUACAGCUCGGAUAUCUGUCCUCUCCAACUCUCAUGUUGAAAUGUUGGGGGUGCGGCCAGUGGGAGGCAUCUGGGUCCUGGGAGCAGAUCUCUCGUGAAGGGCUUGGUGCUGUCCUUGCAGUAAUGGGGGUAAUGAGUGGGUCCUCAUUCUAUCAGUUCAUGUGAGACCUAGUUAUUUAAAAGAGCCUGGAACACACCCCCCACCCCCCACCCAUACUCUCUUUCUCACCAUGUGACACGCCUGCUCCCCUCCCCUGCCUUCAGCCAAGAAUAAAAGCCUCCUGAGGCCUCACCAGAA